UUUCGGGUGGAAGAGAGUCAGCUUAGUGGCGAACGGGUGAGUAACACGUGAGCAACCUGCCUUUCAGUGGGGGACAACAUUUGGAAACGAAUGCUAAUACCGCAUAAGACCACAGUGUCGCAUGGCACAGGGGUCAAAGGAUUUAUCCGCUGAAAGAUGGGCUCGCGUCCGAUUAGCUAGAUGGUGAGGUAACGGCCCACCAUGGCAACGAUCGGUAGCCGGACUGAGAGGUUGAACGGCCACAUUGGGACUGAGACACGGCCCAGACUCCUACGGGAGGCAGCAGUGGGGAAUAUUGCACAAUGGGGGAAACCCUGAUGCAGCGACGCCGCGUGGAGGAAGAAGGUCUUCGGAUUGUAAACUCCUGUCCCAGGGGACGAUAAUGACGGUACCCUGGGAGGAAGCACCGGCUAACUACGUGCCAGCAGCCGCGGUAAAACGUAGGGUGCAAGCGUUGUCCGGAAUUACUGGGUGUAAAGGGAGCGCAGGCGGAUUGGCAAGUUGGGAGUGAAAUCUAUGGGCUCAACCCAUAAAUUGCUUUCAAAACUGUCAGUCUUGAGUGGUGUAGAGGUAGGCGGAAUUCCCGGUGUAGCGGUGGAAUGCGUAGAUAUCGGGAGGAACACCAGUGGCGAAGGCGGCCUACUGGGCACUAAUCUGACGCUGAGGC
RNAcentral lists this ribosomal RNA (667 nucleotides) under uncultured Lachnospiraceae bacterium. RNAcentral describes it as "bacterial SSU rRNA". It matches the Rfam family "Bacterial small subunit ribosomal RNA", at positions 75 to 752 of the family's 1533-position model. Lineage: Bacteria; Bacillati; Bacillota; Clostridia; Lachnospirales; Lachnospiraceae. The record is from RNAcentral.